This is a long non-coding RNA of Drosophila albomicans, 438 nucleotides long. RefSeq lists it as uncharacterized. The transcript is spliced from 3 exons. The record is from RefSeq and is a predicted model, not a curated record. NCBI's taxonomy places the organism in Eukaryota, Metazoa, Arthropoda, Insecta, Diptera, Drosophilidae.
AAAGAAAAAAAAUCGCGAUCGAAAUAAAAAUAAUAAACAUACAAAGAUUACAACGAAUCGAAUUGUUAAAUUCCACGAAUUAAACGCAAAUUGUCUGAAAUUCAGCGUGCACAAAAAAAAGAAUCUGUUUCAAUGUGGAAAGUCCAACUAAAUUUUUACGCCUCGACUGUUGAUUGCCGACUUGCUCAAAAGCGUUAAUUCGGUUAAGCACUUAAAGCGUCCUCGUCAGCAGCAGCAGGAGGAGGAGGACGAAUCGGAGUUGGUAGUUGUGGUGGGCUGUUAAAGAGGGCUUGCUGGAUUGGGCCAGCAGCUGUCCCAAUGUGGCCCAGACAUAAGGGCACACAAAUUGCGACGCACAGCAAGUUACGUGCAUAGUUCAAUUGAAGGUGAAUUCCUAACUAAACGAGCCAGCGACACAAGAUUGAAACGAAGACAAAA